This 119-nucleotide ribosomal RNA is filed under the name Beta vulgaris subsp. vulgaris (sugar beet). The record is from RNAcentral. Lineage: Eukaryota; Viridiplantae; Streptophyta; Magnoliopsida; Caryophyllales; Amaranthaceae.
GGCUACAACCAUACCAGCAUUAAUGCAACGUAUCCUAUAAGACCUCCGCAGUUAAGCGUGCUUGGGUCAGAGUAGUACAAAGAUGAGUGACUUAUUAGGAAGUCCUCGUGUUGCACCCC